This 469-nucleotide ribosomal RNA is filed under the name Acinetobacter sp. oral taxon C51. RNAcentral describes it as "bacterial SSU rRNA". It matches the Rfam family "Bacterial small subunit ribosomal RNA", at positions 30 to 493 of the family's 1533-position model. Lineage: Bacteria; Pseudomonadati; Pseudomonadota; Gammaproteobacteria; Moraxellales; Moraxellaceae. The record is from RNAcentral.
AUUGAACGCUGGCGGCAGGCUUAACACAUGCAAGUCGAGCGGGCGAGGUUGCUUCGGUAACUGAGCUAGCGGCGGACGGGUGAGUAAUGCUUAGGAAUCUGCCUAUUAGUGGGGGACAACAUUCCGAAAGGGAUGCUAAUACCGCAUACGCCCUACGGGGGAAAGCAGGGGAUCUUCGGACCUUGCGCUAAUAGAUGAGCCUAAGUCGGAUUAGCUAGUUGGUGGGGUAAAGGCCUACCAAGGCGACGAUCUGUAGCGGGUCUGAGAGGAUGAUCCGCCACACUGGGACUGAGACACGGCCCAGACUCCUACGGGAGGCAGCAGUGGGGAAUAUUGGACAAUGGGGGGAACCCUGAUCCAGCCAUGCCGCGUGUGUGAAGAAGGCCUUUUGGUUGUAAAGCACUUUAAGCGAGGAGGAGGCGCUCUAGGUUAAUACCCUAGAUGCGUGGACGUAUUCGCAGAUAAGCCC